ACGGCUCAGUAACACGUAGUCAACAUGCCCAGAGGACGUGGAUAACCUCGGGCAAACUGAGGAUAAACCGCGAUAGGCCAUAAUUACUGGAAUGGGUUAUGGCUUAAACCUAUAUGGCCUCUGGAUUGGACUGCGGCCGAUCAGGCAGUUGGUGAGGUAAUGGCCCACCAAACCUGUUACCGGUACGGGCUCUGAGAGGAGGAGCCCGGAGAUGGGCACUGAGACAAGGGCCCAGGCCCUAUGGGGCGCAGCAGGCGCGAAACCUCUGCAAUAGGCGAAAGCCUGACAGGGUUACUCUGAGUGAUUCCCGCUAAGGGGAUCUUUUGGCACCUCUAAAAAUGGUGCAGAAUAAGGGGUGGGCAAGUCUGGUGUCAGCCGCCGCGGUAAUACCAGCACCCCGAGUGGUCGGGACGAUUAUUGGGCCUAAAGCAUCCGUAGCCGGUCAUGCAAGUCCUCCGUUAAAUCCACCUGCUCAACAGAUGGGCUGCGGAGGAUACUACAAGGCUAGGAGGCGGAAGAGGCAAGCGGUACUCAGUGGGUAGGGGUAAAAUCCUCUGAUCCAUUGAAGACCACCAGUGGCGAAGGCGGCUUGCCAAUACGCGCUCGACGGUGAGGGAUGAAAGCUGGGGGAGCAAACCGGAUUACUGUAAAACGACGGCCAGUGAAUUGUAAUACGACUCACUAUAGGGCGAAUUGGGCCCUCUAGAUGCAUGCUCGAGCGGCCCCCAGUGUGAUGGAAUAUCUGCAGAAUUCGCCUUCG
RNAcentral lists this ribosomal RNA (760 nucleotides) under uncultured archaeon. Its description in RNAcentral is "bacterial SSU rRNA". It matches the Rfam family "Archaeal small subunit ribosomal RNA", at positions 85 to 751 of the family's 1478-position model. The record is from RNAcentral.